Molecule: ribosomal RNA, 313 nt
Filed under: uncultured Robiginitalea sp.
Lineage: Bacteria; Pseudomonadati; Bacteroidota; Flavobacteriia; Flavobacteriales; Flavobacteriaceae
Description: bacterial SSU rRNA
Rfam family: Bacterial small subunit ribosomal RNA
Source: RNAcentral
GAUGAACGCUAGCGGCAGGCCUAACACAUGCAAGUCGAACGGUAACAGGGAAAAGCUUGCUUUUCCGCUGACGAGUGGCGCACGGGUGCGCAACGCGUAUAGAACCUACCCUGUACAGGGGGAUAGCCCGGAGAAAUCCGGAUUAAUACCCCGUGGUAAUUAGAAUCGGCAUCGGUUUUAAUUUAAAGCUUCGGCGGUACAGGAUGGCUAUGCGUCCUAUUAGUUAGAUGGUGAGGUAACGGCUCACCAUGGCAUCGAUAGGUAGGGGCCCUGAGAGGGGGAUCCCCCACACUGGUACUGAGACACGGACCAG